This is a non-coding RNA of Potamilus streckersoni, 77 nucleotides long. The record is from the annotation of a GenBank genome assembly. NCBI's taxonomy places the organism in Eukaryota, Metazoa, Mollusca, Bivalvia, Unionida, Unionidae.
GACCACUCCAGUGGCUUAGUGGUUAAAGCAUCCACCUUAGAUGUGGGAGGCCAUGGGUUCAAUCCCCAGCUGAGUUA